AUUGAACGCUGGCGGCAGGCCUAACACAUGCAAGUCGAGCGGAUGAAGGGAGCUUGCUCCUGGAUUCAGCGGCGGACGGGUGAGUAAUGCCUAGGAAUCUGCCUGGUAGUGGGGGAUAACGUCCGGAAACGGGCGCUAAUACCGCAUACGUCCUGAGGGAGAAAGUGGGGGAUCUUCGGACCUCACGCUAUCAGAUGAGCCUAGGUCGGAUUAGCUAGUUGGUGGGGUAAAGGCCUACCAAGGCGACGAUCCGUAACUGGUCUGAGAGGAUGAUCAGUCACACUGAAACUGAAACACGGUCCAGACUCUGACGGGAGGCAGCGGGGGGAAAUAUUGAAAAAGGGGCGAAGUCUUGAUCGACCCAUGCGGCGGGGGUGAGGAAGGUUUUCGAAUUUAAAAGCAUUUUAAGUGGGGAGAAAGGAAAAUAAGUUAAUACUUUCUUGUUUUGACGUCACCAAAAGAAAAAGCCCCGGCUAACUUCGUC
RNAcentral lists this ribosomal RNA (484 nucleotides) under uncultured bacterium. RNAcentral's name for it is "partial 16S ribosomal RNA". It matches the Rfam family "Bacterial small subunit ribosomal RNA", at positions 30 to 507 of the family's 1533-position model. The record is from RNAcentral.